GGUUGCGAUCAUACCAGCACUAAUGCACCGGAUCCCAUCAGAACUUCGCAGUUAAGCGUGCUUGGGCGAGAGUAGUACUAGGAUGGGUGACCCCUUGGGAAGUCCUCGUGUUGCAACCC
Molecule: ribosomal RNA, 119 nt
Filed under: Helianthus annuus (common sunflower)
Lineage: Eukaryota; Viridiplantae; Streptophyta; Magnoliopsida; Asterales; Asteraceae
Source: RNAcentral